GAUGAACGCUAGCUACAGGCUUAACACAUGCAAGUCGAGGGGAAACGAUAUUGGAAGCUUGCUUCCGAUAGGCGUCGACCGGCGCACGGGUGAGUAACGCGUAUCCAACCUGCCCAUCACUUGGGGAUAACCUUGCGAAAGUAAGACUAAUACCCAAUGAUAUCCCUAGAAGACAUCUGAAGGAGAUUAAAGAUUUAUCGGUGAUGGAUGGGGAUGCGUCUGAUUAGCUUGUUGGCGGGGUAACGGCCCACCAAGGCGACGAUCAGUAGGGGUUCUGAGAGGAAGAGCCCCCACAUUGGAACUUAGACACGGUCCAAACUCCUACGGGAGGGAGCAGUGAGGAAUAUUGGUCGAUGGACGAGAGUCUGAACCAGCCAAGUAGCGUGCAGGAUGACGGCCCUAUGGGUUGUAAACUGCUUUUAUAAGGGAAUAAAGUGAGCCUCGUGAGGCUUUUUGCAUGUACCUUAUGAAUAAGGACCGGCUAAUUCCGUGCCAGCAGCCGCAGUAA
RNAcentral lists this ribosomal RNA (508 nucleotides) under uncultured bacterium. RNAcentral's name for it is "partial 16S ribosomal RNA". It matches the Rfam family "Bacterial small subunit ribosomal RNA", at positions 28 to 523 of the family's 1533-position model. The record is from RNAcentral.